GAUGAAGAACGUAGCGAAAUGCGAUAACUAGUGUGAAUUGCAGAUUUCAGUGAAUCAUCGAAUCUUUGAACGCACAUUGCGCCCGCCAGUAUUCUGGCGGGCAUGCCUGUUCGAGCGUCAUUACAACCCUCAGGCCCCCGGGCCUGGCGUUGGGGAUCGGCGGAGCCCCCCGUGGGCACACGCCGUCCCCCAAAUACAGUGGCGGUCCCGCCGCAGCUUCCAUCGCGUAGUAGCUAACACCUCGCGACUGGAGAGCGGCGCGGCCACGCCGUAAAACACCCAACUCUUCUGAAGUUGACCUCGAAUCAGGUAGGAAUACCCGCUGAACUUAAGCAUAUCAAUAAGCGGAGGA
Molecule: unclassified non-coding RNA, 352 nt
Filed under: soil metagenome
Description: partial contains 5.8S ribosomal RNA, internal transcribed spacer 2, and large subunit ribosomal RNA
Rfam family: 5.8S ribosomal RNA (bases 1-120)
Source: RNAcentral